RNAcentral lists this ribosomal RNA (253 nucleotides) under uncultured bacterium. Its description in RNAcentral is "partial 16S ribosomal RNA". It matches the Rfam family "Bacterial small subunit ribosomal RNA", at positions 524 to 776 of the family's 1533-position model. The record is from RNAcentral.
UACGAGUGCCUCAAGCGUUAUCCGGAAUCAUUGGGCGUAAAGGGUGUGUAGGUGGUCGCGUUAGUCUUUUGUUAAAUUCUUCGGCUUAACCGGGGGCAUGCAGGAGAAACGGCGCGACUUGACGGUGCAAGAGGUCUGCGGAACUCAUAGUGUAGCGGUGAAAUGCGUUGAUAUUAUGGGGAACACCAAAUGCGAAGGCAGCAGACUGGGGCACUCGUGACACUGAAACACGAAAGCGUGGGUAGCGAAUGGG